CUCCGCCAGAAAAUUACGGGUAAAAAGCCUAAAACUCAAAAGACUUGACGGUGUCCCAACCUACCUAGAGGAGCCUGUUCCAUAAUCGACAACCCCCGAUAAACCAAACCACUCUUUGAACUUCUCAGCCUAUAUACCGCCGUCGCCAGUUUACCUUUUAAAAGAAUUAAAGCAAACUAAAUAACAACACAUUAACAAGUCAGGUCAAGGUGUAGCAUAUAGAGUGGAGAAAAUGGGCUACAUUAUUUACUUUAAAUAAAACGGAUUUAUCCUAUGAAAAAGAACAUGAAGGCGGAUUUAAUAGUAAUUUAAACAAGAA
RNAcentral lists this ribosomal RNA (319 nucleotides) under Echinosaura keyi. RNAcentral describes it as "partial 12S ribosomal RNA". It matches the Rfam family "Bacterial small subunit ribosomal RNA", at positions 867 to 1354 of the family's 1533-position model. Lineage: Eukaryota; Metazoa; Chordata; Lepidosauria; Squamata; Gymnophthalmidae. The record is from RNAcentral.